CCCAUUUUUGGGUGGUUUUGGGGUGGGAGAACCCCAGAUCCUCAGGUGAGACCAAAAAAUUUGGGUGUUUUUGGGUGUUUUUGGGGUGGGAGAACCCCAGAUCCUCAGGUGAGAUCAAAAAAUUUGGGUGUUUUUGGGUGUUUUUGGGUGGUUUUGGGUGGUUUUGGGUGGUUUUUUGGUGUUUUUGGGUGUUUUGGGGUGGGAGAACCCCAGAUCCUCAGGUGAGAUCAAAAAAUUUGGGUGUUUUUGGGUGUUUUUGGGGUGGGAGACCUCCAGAUCCUCAGGUAAGAUAAAAAAAUUUGAGUGUUUUUGGGGGUGGGAUAACCCCAGAUCCUCAGGUGAGAUCAAAAAAAGGGGGUGUUUCACCUCUUUUUUGUGU
This is a long non-coding RNA of Myiozetetes cayanensis, 379 nucleotides long. RefSeq lists it as uncharacterized. Lineage: Eukaryota; Metazoa; Chordata; Aves; Passeriformes; Tyrannidae. The record is from RefSeq and is a predicted model, not a curated record. The transcript is spliced from 3 exons.